Molecule: transfer RNA, 72 nt
Filed under: Candidatus Arthromitus sp. SFB-mouse-Japan
Lineage: Bacteria; Bacillati; Bacillota; Clostridia; Eubacteriales; Clostridiaceae
Also listed under: 6 other names
Description: tRNA-Arg
Rfam family: tRNA
About the family: Transfer RNA (tRNA) molecules are approximately 80 nucleotides in length.
Source: RNAcentral
GCUCUCAUAGUUUAAUGGAUAGAAUAGCUCCCUCCUAAGGAGUAGAUACAGGUUCGAUUCCUGUUGAGAGUG